RNAcentral lists this ribosomal RNA (497 nucleotides) under uncultured bacterium. RNAcentral's name for it is "partial 16S ribosomal RNA". It matches the Rfam family "Bacterial small subunit ribosomal RNA", at positions 28 to 507 of the family's 1533-position model. The record is from RNAcentral.
GAUGAACGCUGGCGGCGUGCCUAAUACAUGCAAGUCGAGCGAACGGACGAGAAGCUUGCUUCUCUGAUGUUAGCGGCGGACGGGUGAGUAACACGUGGAUAACCUACCUAUAAGACUGGGAUAACUUCGGGAAACCGGUGCUAAUACCGGAUAAUAUUUUGAACCGCAUGGUUCAAAAGUGAAAGACGGUCUUGCUGUCACUUAUAGAUGGAUCCGCGCUGCAUUAGCUAGUUGGUAAGGUAACGGCUUACCAAGGCAACGAUGCAUAGCCGACCUGAGAGGGUGAUCGGCCACACUGGAACUGAGACACGGUCCAGACUCCUACGGGAGGCAGCAGUAGGGAAUCUUCCGCAAUGGGCGGAAGCCUGACGGAGCAACGCCGCGUGAGUGAUGAAGGUCUUCGGAUCGUAAAACUCUGUUAUUAGGGAAGAACAUAUGUGUAAGUAACUGUGCACAUCUUGACGGUACCUAAUCAGAAAGCCACGGCUAACUACGUG